RNAcentral lists this non-coding RNA (105 nucleotides) under Escherichia coli. RNAcentral describes it as "antisense sRNA RprA". It matches the Rfam family "RprA RNA". From Rfam's summary of the family: Translational regulation of the stationary phase sigma factor RpoS is mediated by the formation of a double-stranded RNA stem-loop structure in the upstream region of the rpoS messenger RNA, occluding the translation initiation site. Clones carrying rprA (RpoS regulator RNA A) increased the translation of RpoS. The record is from RNAcentral. Lineage: Bacteria; Pseudomonadati; Pseudomonadota; Gammaproteobacteria; Enterobacterales; Enterobacteriaceae.
ACGGUUAUAAAUCAACAUAUUGAUUUAUAAGCAUGGAAAUCCCCUGAGUGAAACAACGAAUUGCUGUGUGUCUUUGCCCAUCUCCCACGAUGGGCUUUUUUUAAC